UGGGGAAUAUUGGACAAUGGGGGAAACCCUGAUCCAGCCAUGCCGCGUGCGUGAAGAAGGCCUUAGGGUUGUAAAGCGCUUUCGGCGGGGAAGAUGAUGACGGUACCCGCAGAAGAAGCCCCGGCUAACUCCGUACCAGCAGCCGCGGUAAUACGGAGGGGGCUAGCGUUGUUCGGAAUUACUGGGCGUAAAGGGCGCGUAGGCGGGCGAUCAAGUCAGAGGUGAAAGGCCUGGGCUCAACCUGGGAAUUGCCUUUGAAACUGAUUGUCUAGAGUCCGGAAGAGGAUGGCGGAAUUCCCAGUGUAGAGGUGAAAUUCGUAGAUAUUGGGAAGAACACCAGUGGCGAAGGCGGCCAUCUGGUCCGGUACUGACGCUGAGGCGCGAAAGCGUGGGGAGCAAACAGGAUUAGAUACCCAAGUAGUCCCUGAGCGGGCUGGCAAGGCGCAU
This 447-nucleotide ribosomal RNA is filed under the name uncultured bacterium. Its description in RNAcentral is "bacterial SSU rRNA". It matches the Rfam family "Bacterial small subunit ribosomal RNA", at positions 355 to 825 of the family's 1533-position model. The record is from RNAcentral.